ACCAAAACAAACACCUGAUUCUAGACCCAGUCAGCAGUCAGCAUGAAGGAAGGUACUCCUGUACGGUCAAAACUGGCAGAAGAACCAUUGGCUCAGCUGAGAAAACUCUGACUGUCCAAAAUAUUAAAGUGAAACAAACAUCAGCAGCAGCUGCAGGAGUCUGUGCUGCUCUCCUGGUUUUAAUGCUUCUCGCUGUCCUCUGGUGGAUGAGAAAAAAGAGAAGAUCCAGCCGAUCUCCUCGAACUGAACCCUCAGACAACUCGGAGCAGCCAAACCCUGAUUCCAUGUAUGAAAACAUCUCAGCUCCAUCAGCAGAGCAGGAUGACCAUCACUACAUGAGACUCCACUUCUCUCAGAACCACACAGAAGAUCUCUACUCCACCAUCCAUCACGCAGCUUCCAACUGAACUAAAGUUUGUUGUCAUUUUAUUUUGCAAUUAGAGCCUGACCAAUAUAUCGGUCGAUAUUAUCCCAUCAUAGAUACAUCUGGGAUAUAUUAAUAUCCACCAAUAUGUUAUCCAAAAUGUCCAUGACGAAUCUUUUUACGCAGCAUAAUGCAGAAUAAAAGGCCCUGGUGUAAUUCAUGAUUAAGUGUUGUUAUUGUGAUGGUGCACUCAUGUAAUUUUUAACAAUAAAGUUGAUAGUUGAACUGUAAAAAAUAUUCUGCCCUGAUCGUCAUUGCAUAUCUCUGUCAAAUGUGUUUGAUAUCCAAACUCUAAAUGAAGAUGA
Molecule: long non-coding RNA, 729 nt
Organism: Acanthopagrus latus (yellowfin seabream)
Lineage: Eukaryota; Metazoa; Chordata; Actinopteri; Spariformes; Sparidae
Exons: 3
Source: RefSeq, a predicted model, not a curated record